Molecule: ribosomal RNA, 468 nt
Filed under: uncultured bacterium
Lineage: Bacteria
Description: partial 16S ribosomal RNA
Rfam family: Bacterial small subunit ribosomal RNA
Source: RNAcentral
GACGAACGCUGGCGGCGUGCUUAACCCAUGCAAGUCGAACGGAAAGGCCCUGCUUUUGUGGGGUGCUCGAGUGGCGAACGGGUGAGUAACACGUGAGUAACCUGCCCUUGACUUUGGGAUAACUUCAGGAAACUGGGGCUAAUACCGGAUAGGAGCUCCUGCUGCAUGGUGGGGGUUGGAAAGUUUCGGCGGUUGGGGAUGGACUCGCGGCUUAUCAGCUUGUUGGUGGGGUAGUGGCUUACCAAGGCUUUGACGGGUAGCCGGCCUGAGGGGGUGACCGGCCACAUUGGGACUGAGAUACGGCCCAGACUCCUACGGGAGGCAGCAGUGGGGAAUAUUGCACAAUGGGCGGAAGCCUGAUGCAGCAACGCCGCGUGCGGGAUGACGGCCUUCGGGUUGUAAACCGCUUUCGCCUGUGACGAAGCGUGAGUGACGGUAAUGGGUAAAGAAGCACCGGCUAACUACGUG